UGGGGAAUUUUGCACAAUGGGGGAAACCCUGAUGCAGCGACGCCGCGUGAUUUAGAAGGCCUUCGGGUUGUAAAAAUCUUUUCUAUGGGAAGAAAAUGACAGUACCAUAGGAAUAAGGACCGGCUAAUUACGUGCCAGCAGCCGCGGUAAUACGUAAGGUCCGAGCGUUGUCCGGAAUCAUUGGGCGUAAAGGGUACGUAGGCGGGUAAGCAAGUUAGAAGUGAAAUCCUGUAGCUCAACUACAGUAAGCUUUUAAAACUGCUCAUCUUGAGAUAUGGAAGGGAAAGUGGAAUUCCUAGUGUAGCGGUGAAAUGCGCAGAUAUUAGGAGGAACACCAGUGGCGAAGGCGACUCUCUGGUCUGUAACUGACGCAGAGGUUCGAAAGCGUGGGUAGCAAACAGG
Molecule: ribosomal RNA, 402 nt
Filed under: Bacteroidota bacterium
Lineage: Bacteria; Pseudomonadati; Bacteroidota
Description: Bacteroidetes bacterium partial 16S ribosomal RNA
Rfam family: Bacterial small subunit ribosomal RNA
Source: RNAcentral